RNAcentral lists this unclassified non-coding RNA (352 nucleotides) under soil metagenome. RNAcentral describes it as "partial contains 5.8S ribosomal RNA, internal transcribed spacer 2, and large subunit ribosomal RNA". The stretch from base 1 to 120 matches the Rfam family "5.8S ribosomal RNA", at positions 35 to 154 of the family's 154-position model. The record is from RNAcentral.
GAUGAAGAACGUAGCGAAAUGCGAUAAGUAAUGUGAAUUGCAGAAUUCAGUGAAUCAUCGAAUCUUUGAACGCACAUUGCGCCCGCCAGUAUUCUGGCGGGCAUGCCUGUUCGAGCGUCAUUACAACCCUCAGGCCCCCGGGCCUGGCGUUGGGGAUCGGCGGAGCCCCCCGUGGGCACACGCCGUCCCCCAAAUACAGUGGCGGUCCCGCCGCAGCUUCCAUCGCGUAGUAGCCAACACCUCGCGACUGGAGAGCGGCGCGGCCACGCCGUAAAACACCCAACUCUUCUGAAGUUGACCUCGAAUCAGGUAGGAAUACCCGCUGAACUUAAGCAUAUCAAUAAGCGGAGGA